GGAGGUGUGGUUCAGUAGUAGAAUAUCUGUUUGGCAAACUGAAGGGCCUGAGUUCAAUCACCAGUACCCACA
This 72-nucleotide transfer RNA is filed under the name Dipodomys ordii (Ord's kangaroo rat). It matches the Rfam family "tRNA". Rfam says of the family: Transfer RNA (tRNA) molecules are approximately 80 nucleotides in length. Lineage: Eukaryota; Metazoa; Chordata; Mammalia; Rodentia; Heteromyidae. The record is from Rfam by way of RNAcentral.